Molecule: ribosomal RNA, 439 nt
Filed under: uncultured bacterium
Lineage: Bacteria
Description: partial 16S ribosomal RNA
Rfam family: Bacterial small subunit ribosomal RNA
Source: RNAcentral
CUACGGGACGCUGCGGUGAGGAAUAUUGCACAAUGGGGGGAACCCUGAUGCAGCAACGCCGCGUGGAGGAUGACGCAUUUCGGUGUGUAAACUCCUUUUAUAUGUCAAGAAGAUGACGGUAGCAUAUGAAUAAGCACCGGCUAACUCCGUGCCAGCAGCCGCGGUAAUACGGAGGGUGCAAGCGUUACUCGGAAUCACUGGGCGUAAAGGACGCGUAGGCGGGUUGGAAAGUCAGGUGUGAAAUCCUACAGCUUAACUGUAGAACUGCACUUGAAACUUCUAAUCUAGAGUAUGGGAGGGGGAGAUGGAAUUAGUGGUGUAGGGGUAAAAUCCGUAGAUAUCACUAGGAAUACCUAAAGCGAAGGCGAUCUCCUGGAACAUUACUGACGCUAAGGCGUGAAAGCGUGGGGAGCAAACAGGAUUAGAUACCCUCGUAGUC